This 428-nucleotide ribosomal RNA is filed under the name Pholcus taita. Its description in RNAcentral is "partial 16S ribosomal RNA". It matches the Rfam family "Archaeal large subunit ribosomal RNA", at positions 1924 to 2668 of the family's 2987-position model. Lineage: Eukaryota; Metazoa; Arthropoda; Arachnida; Araneae; Pholcidae. The record is from RNAcentral.
UUCUUUAAGACCAUAAUUUAAAGUAAUACCUGCUCAAUGUCAAGAAUUAAUAGCCGCAGUAUCACUGUGCUAAGGUAGCAUAAUAAUUUGCUUCUUAAUUAGAAGAUAGAAUGAAAGGUUACACAUUUAAGAUCUGUAUCUUCCCAACACAAAUUAAAUUAAGCAAAAAGUAAAAACUCUUUUAUUACCCGCGGGACGACAAGACCCUAAUAAACUUAGCAUUUAGUUGGGGAAACACUAUAAUAAAUAUUUAAAUAUAAUAUCACCAUAUCUUUAAUAUAAAAUUAAGUCUAGUUACUAUAGGGAUAACAGCGCUAUUUCUUUUAAGAGCCCUUAUCUAAAAAGAAGAUUACGACCUCGAUGUUGAAUUAGUUAUACUAUUAAGCGCAAAAGCUUAACAAGGUAGUCUGUUCGACUAUUAAAAAACU